This 1287-nucleotide long non-coding RNA is filed under the name Meriones unguiculatus (Mongolian gerbil). RNAcentral's name for it is "lncRNA (ENSMUGG00000013192.1)". Lineage: Eukaryota; Metazoa; Chordata; Mammalia; Rodentia; Muridae. The record is from RNAcentral.
AGGAUUUUCUUUUUCUGAACAUUGAGUCUUGGACUAGUAAGAACUAGUGCAUAUGUUUAGACAAAUGUUAUUUUUAAAUGUAUAAUCCAGAUGGUAUAGCUAGGGUGUAUAGCCUGUUGGGGGGGUCUACUUAAAAUUGGGUGAUUUGUGUCUGAUAGAAUUUAACUCAAAACAGAAGGUUCAGAAUCCAUUCAUUUAAAGCUUUCUACUUAGUACCUGCCAUAUGCCUGGCUCGUAGUAGUUGUGAGGUGAUAGAAAAAGUAGAUAUAGUCACUCCAAGGUUGUGUGAGUGAGUGCUGCUGCUGUUACAAAGUAAUGGCAAGAACUCGGAAUUUGCCUAGGAAAAGUGCACAGCUGAGCCAGGGUAGGAGCUGAGGUGGGAGAUACUCGUAGCCUGGACUUGAGGUAGCUGUGACAAUUCUCCAACUUGUAAAGAAGCCCUAGGCCUGAAGAGAUCACUUAGCAAUUAAGAGUGCUUGUCUUACAGAGGACCAGGGUUUCGUUCUCAGCACCCACGGGUUGACUCAAGUUUCAGGGCUUUGGAUGCUCUUGGCACCAAACACACAACACACAUGUGGAGCACAUUCAUACAUGCAGGCAAAACACCUAUCCCCAGAAGAUAAUUUUAAAUGUUUUAAAGAGGCCCUGCAUAAAAGGAUCGUAGAAGACCUAAGAUGUUUGGACAAGUAAUGCAUUACAUGCUAACCACGACGCUGAGGCAGGAAGCAGAAUCUCCUCCGGUUAACUAUUGGAAGAGCGUCAGCAGCUCAGGCAGCCAGGAGUCCUGGCACUGGCUGGAAUCAUGGUUUCCGAACAAACAGUAAAUCCCAAGGGUGAACCAAGCAAGAAACAAAUUUCACCAGAAAGUAGCACCUCAGAUACAUCAUCCUCAAAACAAGCUUUGUCCACACUGCAGAAGGAGGAAGAAAUCCUGUGAGUAUAUCAGUGUUCUACACAACUCACUAAGACAGAUGUUUACUGAAAGGAAUUAGUUCACAAUUUUGGAGACAUCCCAGGGGGUACCCCUUCAAUCUGCCAUCUGCAAGCUCACCAGCCAGGGAAGGUAGAGGUAUCAUUCAGCUUGGCUGGGAACAAUGGAGAGCUGCUUGCUUGGCAAGCUGCUUUGUUAUUGUUAUUCAGUGAACUACAUGUUUUCGCCCUGGCCUUUACCUUGAAACAGGGAUAAGCAGGUUGUUUUGCCAAGUUCCUUUAGCUUGUUUGUGUGACCUUGGACCAUUUCUGCUAUACAGAGAAGUGGUCUAAGGAAACAUGUUUGGCUGCUCCUCG